AUUGAACGCUGGCGGCAUGCCUUACACAUGCAAGUCGAACGGUAACGGGCCUUCGGGUGCCGACGAGUGGCGAACGGGUGAGUAAUGCAUCGGAACGUACCUUUCAGUGGGGGAUAACGUAGCGAAAGUUACGCUAAUACCGCAUAUUCUGUGAGCAGGAAAGCAGGGGAUCGCAAGACCUUGCGCUGAUUGAGCGGCCGAUGUCAGAUUAGCUAGUUGGUGAGGUAAAGGCUCACCAAGGCGACGAUCUGUAGCGGGUCUGAGAGGAUGAUCCGCCACACUGGAACUGAGACACGGUCCAGAUUCCUACGGGAGGCAGCAGUGGGGAAUUUUGGACAAUGGGGGCAACCCUGAUCCAGCCAUGCCGCGUGAGUGAAGAAGGCCUUCGGGUUGG
This 394-nucleotide ribosomal RNA is filed under the name uncultured bacterium. RNAcentral describes it as "bacterial SSU rRNA". It matches the Rfam family "Bacterial small subunit ribosomal RNA", at positions 30 to 426 of the family's 1533-position model. The record is from RNAcentral.